This 110-nucleotide non-coding RNA is filed under the name Massilibacterium senegalense. Its description in RNAcentral is "FMN riboswitch (RFN element)". It matches the Rfam family "FMN riboswitch aptamer (RFN element)". Rfam says of the family: The RFN element is a highly conserved domain that is found frequently in the 5'-untranslated regions of prokaryotic mRNAs that encode for flavin mononucleotide (FMN) biosynthesis and transport proteins. This element is a metabolite-dependent riboswitch that directly binds FMN in the absence of proteins. Lineage: Bacteria; Bacillati; Bacillota; Bacilli; Caryophanales; Bacillaceae. The record is from RNAcentral.
UAUCUUCGGGGCAGGGUGUAAUUCCCGACCGGCGGUUAUAGUCCGCGAGCCUUUUUGGCAGGAACUGGUGAAAUUCCAGUACCGACAGUAUAGUCUGGAUGGGAGAAGAU